AUGUGCUCAUUUCUGCAACAUAUAUACUAAAACUAGAAUGAUACAAAGGAGAUGAGCACGGCCCCUGUACAAGCAUGACAUGCCAAUUCCUGAAGCAUUCCUUUUUUUU
Vombatus ursinus (common wombat) is the source of this 109-nucleotide small nuclear RNA. Lineage: Eukaryota; Metazoa; Chordata; Mammalia; Diprotodontia; Vombatidae. The record is from Ensembl.